GUGCAACUUGAGGCUGAUUCCUCUUGCCCUGCCCCCUGUUACCUGGGAGAAGAGGCAGACAUCCACCUCACUGCCACCUCCUUCCAGGUUGUUGGUCACACCUCUCAGUGCCUUCCUGGUGUUGCCUCUGUUUAGCAGAGAGAGACUGCUCUGCUGUCGAUGAAACACCCAGCCCCAGUUUUACCAAUGAGGUUUGAGAUAUAAAUAUGGAAACACAACUAAAAAUGGGCCUUAAGUACAAUACUUGGUAUUCUCAGUGGUUUGUAUUUAGAACUUCAGAGACUCAUCGAGUAUCAAUGACAGCCUUGGAGUUUUCAGAGAGGUUUGCCAAUAUAUUAGAAGGUAACUAGAAAGAACUAGCAAUUGAUAAUGAACACAAGGCAAACCACAGGGAGAGAUGGAGUCCAAAGAACUGAUAUUCUGCCCUGCGUGCUUUGAACGUGGUGGCUGAAGAAAACAAAGUCCUUCAGAUCUCUCUGAGGCUAAGGGGAAACUGCUAAAAUACCCUUUGAGCCUCUUCUUGCAAGACAUAUCAGAGAUCUCAGGGGAAGCUUGUUGUCCUUCUUCUUCCAGCCAAGUUCCGUAGUCAGAGGAACUCUGGAUAACUUCUAAUUUACCCUUUGAAUCUUAAAACAUCGCUUCAAAAUUGGCGAUGCUGGCGCUAACCUUUGGUGCCGCGGCGGGAAGGAAACACGGAAAGUGCACAUUAUCACCGGGAAGACAGGAGGGUCGGUCUGUCCUGCGGCAGGUAAGCGUUUACGGCGUCUCUGUCACUGCUUUCCCUGCAGAGGGGGGUGAGGUGCGGGCAGGACGCGGUUCUGCGGGGGGGGGGACCCCGGAGGCAUCUGCGGUGCCGCGGUUUAAAAGCGGCCGGGGACGAUGCGCAAGGGACAGAGCGG
Long non-coding RNA from Neopelma chrysocephalum (saffron-crested tyrant-manakin), 899 nucleotides. RefSeq lists it as uncharacterized. The record is from RefSeq and is a predicted model, not a curated record. NCBI's taxonomy places the organism in Eukaryota, Metazoa, Chordata, Aves, Passeriformes, Pipridae. The transcript has 4 exons.